Molecule: long non-coding RNA, 984 nt
Organism: Osmerus eperlanus (European smelt)
Lineage: Eukaryota; Metazoa; Chordata; Actinopteri; Osmeriformes; Osmeridae
Exons: 3
Source: RefSeq, a predicted model, not a curated record
AGUGAUGUUACGGUAGAUGCAGUGCUCACGAAGUGGUAUCGACCUUCCGAAUCACUGUACCGGGCCUACAAAAUGUGUCGAGCGAGCGUCUCUUCAACUUGGCAAGAACACGUGAUCAUCCAAACAAAGCUUUGCACGUCACGCGACCAGCUGACACUGACAGUUGUGUUCGCACUUUAUGAGGGGUUAAGGAUGCUAUCUCCUAAAGUAUUCAACUUGUUGAUCAUUGUACGCCCAAACACGCCCGGGAAAUGAUGAAUCACAAGUGGCACUCAGGUCACGCCUCAAAGUUGUCACAUUCACAUUGAUGGAAUUUCGACGCUGCCAGGUCAAAAUGUCUGAUAUUUUGAAUGCAUUUCUAAUUGAUCAUGAGGAACAAUCAAGUCUCAAUAACCCAUAAUGUCCGGUCCACAUGAUGGAAUUUUCUCGACAAUGAUUAUUAAUGAAAAACUACCAAAAAGCCCCCUGUCUUAGAAAUAAAGGGGCCUACGGGCUACGGCAGAGGCCACCCCAGGGCAAGACGGAAAAGAGGAAAGGGAACAUGGGCCUCUUCCUGCAAAUCAUAUGGAAUGUACCAGGGGAAUGAAGCGAGUUGAGAAGAAUGCCUGUGGUACCUCUACCCAGAGCUCUACCUCCACAAGAUCCAAUCGGCGACGGCGAACGGUUUCAAGGCGCCCGUAGUCAGUGAUGGGCAUUUUGAAUCAUUGAGCAGCAAUGGAUCGAGUUCAGCUAGUUUAUUCUGAAUCCGUCGUUGCAACCAUAAAUUCGAACUGUAUAUAACAAUAUAUAUCAAAUAUAGUAGACUUAGUAGAAGAUUUGAUGUAAUCUAAAUCGUCAGGGUUUAUUUUAUUUAACAUGGCAAGAUACAUCCAUCGCUGGAGGGUAAUUUAAUAAUGUUUAAAGGGUAUCGAUGAGAAGGCACAAUCCCUCACACUGUGUCCAGUUGAUUAAAUUUGUUUUUUUGCAAUAAACCACAAUGAUUGA